AAAUAUUAUAAAAUUAAUAAUAAUACUUUAUUAUAAUUAGUACUUUAUAUACUUUAUAAAUAAUAAUUAAAAUAAAUUUAUAUAGACUUGGAAGCAGCAUUUUGAUUUUGAUUGUGGAUAUAUAUCGUAGGUGUACCCCUGUAAUUUUCUUUGGAUGUAUUUUAUACCUAUAUGUAUAGAUGUACGGACAUUGAGCAGUUAGUAUUUAAAAGCAUUGCAUUGCUA
This 225-nucleotide unclassified non-coding RNA is filed under the name Hevea brasiliensis (rubber tree). Lineage: Eukaryota; Viridiplantae; Streptophyta; Magnoliopsida; Malpighiales; Euphorbiaceae. The record is from RNAcentral.